This 253-nucleotide ribosomal RNA is filed under the name uncultured bacterium. RNAcentral's name for it is "partial 16S ribosomal RNA". It matches the Rfam family "Bacterial small subunit ribosomal RNA", at positions 524 to 776 of the family's 1533-position model. The record is from RNAcentral.
UACAGAGGUCCCAAGCGUUGUUCGGAUUCACUGGGCGUAAAGGGUGCGUAGGUGGUCAGGUAAGUCUGAUGUGAAAUCUCUGGGCUCAACCUGGGAAUGGCAAUGGAUACUGGCAGGCUAGAGUGUGUCAGAGGAUGGUGGAAUUCCCGGUGUAGCGGUGAAAUGCGUAGAGAUCGGGAGGAACAUCAGUGGCGAAGGCGGCCAUCUGGGACAACACUGACGCUGAGGCACGAAAGCGUGGGGAGCAAACAGG